GUAGGGAAUAUUGGGCAAUGGAUGCAAGUCUGACCCAGCCAUCCCGCGUGCCGGAAGAAGGCCCUCAGGGUUGUAAACGGCUUUUGACGGUGAAGAAUCGACAGGAUGCGUCCUGUUUUGACGGUAGCCGUUGAAUAAGCACCGGCUAACUCCGUGCCAGCAGCCGCGGUAAUACGGAGGGUGCGAGCGUUGUCCGGAUUUAUUGGGUUUAAAGGGUGCGUAGGCUGGAAGGUCAGUCAGCGGUGAAAAGCUGUCGCUUAACGAUAGUCUUGCCGCAGAUACUUCCUUUCUUGGAUGAGGAGGAGGCCACUGGAACGGAUGGUGUAGCGGUGAAAUGCAUAGAUAUCAUCCAGAACACCGAUUGCGAAGGCAGGUGGCUGUACCUUAAUCGACGCUGAUGCACUAAAGCAUGGGGAGCAAACAGGAUUAGAAACCCUUGUAGUCC
Molecule: ribosomal RNA, 445 nt
Filed under: uncultured bacterium
Lineage: Bacteria
Description: partial 16S ribosomal RNA
Rfam family: Bacterial small subunit ribosomal RNA
Source: RNAcentral